CGCGAAAACUUUACAAUGCGGGAAACCGUGAUAAGGGGACACCGAGUGCCAGCAUCAUAUGUUGGCUGUCCAGAUGUGCAAAAUACAUCUGUUAGCAAGGGCCGGGCAAGACCGGUGCCAGCCGCCGCGGUAACUCCGGCGGCCCGAGUGGUGAUCUUGAUUAUUGGGUCUAAAGGGUCCGUAGCCGGUUUGGUCAGUCCUCCGGGAAAUCUGACGGCUCAACCGUUAGGCUUUCGGUGGAUACUGCCAGACUUGGAACCGGGAGAGGUAAGAGGUACUACAGGGGUAGGAGUGAAAUCUUGUAAUCCCUGUGAGACCACCCGUGGCGAAGGCGUCUUACCAGAACGGGUUCGACGGUGAGGGACGAAAGCUGGGGGCACGAACCGGAUUAUAUACCCGGGUAAUCCCAGGCAGUAAACUAUGCUC
Molecule: ribosomal RNA, 426 nt
Filed under: uncultured Methanosarcina sp.
Lineage: Archaea; Methanobacteriati; Methanobacteriota; Methanomicrobia; Methanosarcinales; Methanosarcinaceae
Description: bacterial SSU rRNA
Rfam family: Archaeal small subunit ribosomal RNA
Source: RNAcentral